Molecule: RNA transcript, 1294 nt
Organism: Zophobas morio
Lineage: Eukaryota; Metazoa; Arthropoda; Insecta; Coleoptera; Tenebrionidae
Exons: 3
Source: RefSeq, a predicted model, not a curated record
AAAAGUUCAGUGAGAUAAUGUUUGGUAUAAAUUUAAAGGAAACGAUUUUUGCGAAUAAUAAUUAAAUGUAAAAGUUAGAACGAUGUCUUAUUCAUUUGUACUCUUGUUUUGCCUCUUUUGUACCUUUUACACAAGUUACAGCGCUGACGAAAAGUUGUAUAUAAUAAGACAUCAGACAUCACGAUUAGUUUUGGGACUAGGCGAAAACGGUCUAGUACAACUCCAACUUUUUAAUGAUGACACAACACAGUUCUGGACAUUGGAAUGUGCCACACCACCAACAGUUACUAUUACUAAUAAGGACAAUGGCAAAGUACUAGAUAUAAAAUAUGGUGCUUCUGCCGGAAACGACAUCACUACGUUUAGAAAACAUGGAGGUAUAAAUCAAAGAUGGUACGUUAAUUUUGACGAUACCAUAGUCAGUGCACAGAAAGAUUUGGUUCUCGGCAGCGUGGACGGUACAUAUGAAGCAGGAAAAACUAUAAUUGCAUGGAAAAACAAUGGAACAGCCCAUCAUCAGUUUGCGCUGGAGACGUAUGGCCCUGGUAUAUCUAAUAAAAUACAAAAUAAAAUUUAAUAAUAUGUCUGUCUUUUUAAGUACUGUACAAAUGUAAAUGAAUAAAGAACAACACACCAUUUAAAAGUUAGUUAUUGUCCAGAGAUAUUAUUACUCUCUAAAAGAAAUCAAACUACCAUGACGACUUCUGCGAUAGUACUUAUCUUAUCUUCGCCAUAAAAGCUCUUCUCUUGCUCUUCACACCUUGAUUAUUCGGUACUACCUGACGCCAUCAUGAGCCACUGCCACCACGAUCACGAUCACGACAAAUACGCCGUUAUUAGAAACCAAAAAAGUGGCAUGGUUUUAGAUGCAAGCGAACAUGUGUUAAAAAUCCAGCACUUCACCGGAUUUCCGGCACAACUGUGGAAACUGGAAAAUGCAGCGCCCGGAACAUUCUAUAUUGUGAAUAAGGGCAAUGGAAAUGUACUAGACAUAGAAGGGGGAGUCAAGAGCGGUCACAACGUGAUCACGUUUUGCAAACAUGGUGGAGUAAAUCAGCAAUGGUUCGUGAAUUCAGACGGCACUAUUGUCAGUGCUGAGGGAAAUUUGGCGAUUGACAUCUGUGGUGAACAUUACUGCGCGGGAAAUAACUUAAUCGCAUAUAAAAGACAUGGGAAAGAUAACCAGAAGUUCCAUCUUCAAUAUCAAUAGAUUUUCAAAGUGUAGAUGACUUAAGUAAAGUUUUUUCAAAUAAUCAGUACAUCUUAACACGAAAAUAAAAUUAAUUUACUGAAA